GGCCGCUGCCUGCCUCCGGGCUCGGCGGCGCCCCCACGCCCCGCCCUCCCCGGCCCGCCCCCGGCUCCAUCUUGCCGGCGACCGGGUUGGUCUGUGACGCCGCUUCCGCGGGACAGAAUGUCAUACCCAGGCUAUCCCCCGACAGGCUAUCCACCUUUCCCUGGAUAUCCUGCUACAGGUCAAGAGUCAUCUUUUCCCCCUGUGGGUCAGUAUCCUUAUCCUAGUGGCUUUCCUCCAAUGGGAGGAGGUGCCUACCCAUCAGCACCAAGUAGUGGCUAUCCAGGGGCUGGAGGCUACUCUACCCCUGCAGGUUAUCCAGCCCCUGGAGGCUAUCUUGGUGCCCCACAGCCAGGAGGAGCACCAUCCUAUCCCGGAGGCCAAGGAUUUGGAGCCCCACCAGGUGGAGCAGGUUUUUCUGGCUAUCCACAGCCACCCUCACAGUCUUAUGGUGGUGGUCCAGGACAGGUCCCACUACCUGGUGGCUUUCCUGGAGGACAGAUGCCUUCUCAGUAUCCUGGAGGACAAGCUCCUUACCCUAGUCAGAUCAAUACAGAAUCCUUUCCUUCCUAUCCUGUUUUCUCCCCUGUUUCUUUGGAUUAUAGCAAUGAACCUGCUGCAAUGACUCAGGGAGCCCAAGGAACAAUCCGACCAGCUGCCAACUUUGAUGCCAUGAGAGAUGCAGAAAUUCUUCGUAAAGCAAUGAAGGGUUUUGGAACAGACGAGCAGGCAAUUAUGGAUGUUGUGGCCACCCAUUCCAACGAUCAAAGGCAAAAAAUUAAAGCAGCUUUUAAGACCAUGUAUGGGAAGGAUUUAAUCAAAGAUCUCAAAUCAGAGUUAAGUGGGAAUAUGGAGGAACUGAUCCUUGCCCUAUUCAUGCCACCUACGUAUUAUGAUGCCUGGAGUUUAUGGAAUGCAAUGAAGGGAGUAGGAACUCAGGAACGUGUACUGAUUGAAAUUUUGUGCACAAGAACAAAUCAGGAAAUCCGAGAAAUUGUCAGAUGUUAUAAAUCAGAAUUUGGACAAGACCUUGAAAAGGACAUUAGGUCUGAUACAUCAGGGCAUUUUGAACGUUUGCUUGUAUCCAUGUGCCAGGGAAAUCGUGAUGAAAACCAGAAUGUUAACCACCAGUUGGCUCAGGAAGAUGCUCAGCGUCUCUAUCAAGCUGGUGAGGGGAGACUAGGGACAGAUGAAUCUUGCUUUAACAUGAUUCUUGCUACAAGAAGCUUUCCUCAGCUGAAAGCUACCAUGGAAGCUUAUUCCAGGAUGGCUAAUCGAGAUUUGUUAAGCAGUGUUGGCCGUGAGUUUUCCGGAAAUGUUGAGAGUGGUUUGAAGACCAUCUUGUGCCCUGAAUCGCCCUGCCUUCUUUGCUGAGAGGCUCUACUAUUCUAUGAAAGGUGCUGGCACAGAUGACUCCACCCUGGUCAGGAUUGUGGUCACUCGAAGUGAGAUUGACCUUGUACAAAUUAAACAGAUGUUCAGUCAGAUGUAUCAGAAGACCCUGGGCACAAUGAUUGCAAGUGACACAAGUGGGGAUUACCGAAGACUUCUUCUGGCCAUUGUGGGCCAAUAGAGAUUUUUUAAAUGAAUGAAGCUAUACAAAGCUUUUCCUGCAAUGAUUGACCUGCAUGCAGCAAUAUCAACCAACACCUAACCAAAAGAGUUUUUUAUAAGGACUGUGUCAGGGUGUGUGCUUCGUUUGCACAUGUGGUUGUAGCCUUAAUUCCAAUGUUAUUUUUUCUCUGUAUACUAUCAGUGUAAAGCCAUAUCACAAUGAUGCAGUAAUAAUGCAAUGUUUGUAAAGCAUAGUUCUCACUGUUCUUAUUCUAAUCAGGAUACCAAAUUGAAUAAAAAUCAGAACAACCUCUAA
RNA transcript from Manis pentadactyla (Chinese pangolin), 1867 nucleotides. It is a transcript of the gene named annexin A7, with no coding region annotated. NCBI's taxonomy places the organism in Eukaryota, Metazoa, Chordata, Mammalia, Pholidota, Manidae. The transcript is spliced from 14 exons. The record is from RefSeq and is a predicted model, not a curated record.